UUAGUGGAUCGCUAAUCGUUAUCGAGGGAGCACUCGAUCGUUAGGGGGGGUCUCGCCCCCCCUCGUCCCCCCUUAGAAUCGUCCCUGGUGCCGACACCCCUCUCCAUCUCCGACUGCUGCUACUCGUGACACGGCGGCACGGAUCUGACGUCUCCCGGCCAUCUCGACGCGGCAGCCCAUGGAAUCCGAGCGAUGAAGGGGCCUCGCCAUGGCCUUCGUUCUCCACUUAUUCGUCCUCUCAUCCGUGGCAGCUAGAUCUUGUAGGCCUCAAGCACCACCACCAACAGGAUCCAGGCGAGCGUACGGCUGCUCCUCCACCGUCCCGUCACCCGCCGUCCAACGGGCGAGACCGAGUUCUCCGAGCACCGCCACUUGAUGUGCAGGUAAAGAUGUACCUCCGUUUGCAUAAGAGAAUGUUCCCCAAUUAAAGACAAAUACUCCCCCGUUCCUAUAUAGAAGCCCUUUAGAGAUUUUAAUAUGGACUACAUACGGAGGAAAAUGAGUGAAUCUCACUCUAAAAUAUGUCUAUAUACAUCCGUAUGAGUCCCUAGGAACAUCUCAAAAAGGCUUAUGUUUAGAAACAGAGGGAGUACAUGAUAGUACAUCAAGUGUCUUAAUUUUCGUACCACAACUAAUAUUUGAACUUUUGCUUUUCCCGAAACUCUCGGGUGUAGCAUGCGAGAUUUACAAAAUGGUUUGGGAAUUUAGAAUUGAUCUACGCAUUGGAGUGUAACUGUAGUUGGAGUAACCAUACACAGAUGGACAUUAUAAUUUAACACCUCAAAACAAUGGUCCAGCAAAUUCUUCCCCUGAUGUCAGCUUUUGUGGCUUGAGUAAGCGUCAACGGCAUCCAGGCCCAACAAUAAUCACACAAGAGCAAUCAAUGGUGGCAGAUUUUUGCAUAAUGUAACUUGAAUUAUGAUGUGACUGUUCGAUUUAAUUAUGUAUCUUGCUAUUUUUGCAACAAUGUUUCUGAAUAAUGUAACUUCAAAUGACUUCCUUGAAACUCACCUCUGAAUAAACAAAUUGGCGCAUCUCAUACUCA
Molecule: long non-coding RNA, 1045 nt
Organism: Triticum aestivum (bread wheat)
Lineage: Eukaryota; Viridiplantae; Streptophyta; Magnoliopsida; Poales; Poaceae
Exons: 2
Source: RefSeq, a predicted model, not a curated record